Molecule: ribosomal RNA, 460 nt
Filed under: uncultured bacterium
Lineage: Bacteria
Description: partial 16S ribosomal RNA
Rfam family: Bacterial small subunit ribosomal RNA
Source: RNAcentral
CCUACGGGAGGCAGCAGUGAGGAAUAUUGGUCAAUGGGCGCGAGCCUGAACCAGCCAAGUAGCGUGAAGGAUGACUGCCCUACGGGUUGUAAACUUCUUUUAUAAAGGAAUAAAGUGAGGCACGUGUGCCUUUUUGUAUGUACUUUAUGAAUAAGGAUCGGCUAACUCCGUGCCAGCAGCCGCGGUAAUACGGAGGAUCCGAGCGUUAUCCGGAUUUAUUGGGUUUAAAGGGAGCGUAGAUGGGUUGGUAAGUCAGUUGUGAAAGUUUGCGGCUCAACCGUAAAAGUGCAAUUGAUACUGGCAGCCUUGAGUACAGUUGAGGUAGGCGGAAUUCGUGGUGUAGCGGUGAAAUGCUUAGAUAUCACGAAGAACCCCGAUUGCGAAGGCAGCUUACUAAACUGUGACAGACAUUGAUGCUCGAAAGUGUGGGUAUCAAACAGGAUUAGAUACCCUGGUAGUC